Molecule: long non-coding RNA, 255 nt
Organism: Diprion similis
Lineage: Eukaryota; Metazoa; Arthropoda; Insecta; Hymenoptera; Diprionidae
Exons: 3
Source: RefSeq, a predicted model, not a curated record
CACGGUGAUGGUAAAGUCGUCCACAUAGACGUCAGUGAAGGGAUCGACCCUUCCAAAACUACGAUGAAAUUCAAUCGGACUUUUGCUGGAGCGCAUUUUGGUACUGCCCACAAACUUCUACACCGCCCAACCACAACGACCAUUGCGACCACCUCACGAUCCGAAACUGUAACAUCAUCAACUACUGCUUCAAAAAUCAGCUCAGUGCCAAACGACACCACUCCAAUAAUUAACACAACCGCCGCACCCGCCGGU